GCAAGUCGAACGGUGAAGCCCAGCUUGCUAGGUGGAUCAGUGGCGAACGGGUGAGUAACACGUGAGCAAUCUGCCCCUGACUCUGGGAUAAGCGCUGGAAACGGUGUCUAAUACUGGAUAUGAGCUGCGACCGCAUGGUCAGUAGUUGGAAAGAUUUUUCGGUCAGGGAUGAGCUCGCGGCCUAUCAGCUUGUUGGUGAGGUAAUGGCUCACCAAGGCGUCGACGGGUAGCCGGCCUGAGAGGGUGACC
RNAcentral lists this ribosomal RNA (249 nucleotides) under uncultured bacterium. RNAcentral's name for it is "partial 16S ribosomal RNA". It matches the Rfam family "Bacterial small subunit ribosomal RNA", at positions 57 to 305 of the family's 1533-position model. The record is from RNAcentral.